UACGGAGGAUCCAAGCGUUAUCCGGAAUCAUUGGGUUUAAAGGGUCCGUAGGCGGUUUGGUAAGUCAGUGGUGAAAGCCCAUCGCUCAACGGUGGAAACGGCCAUUGAUACUGCCAGACUUGAAUUAUUAGGAAGUAACUAGAAUAUGUAGUGUAGCGGCGAAAUGCUUAGAGAUUACAUGGAAUACCAAUUGCGAAGGCAGGUUACUACUAAUGGAUUGACGCUGAUGGACGAAAGCGUGGGUAGCGAACAGG
This 254-nucleotide ribosomal RNA is filed under the name uncultured bacterium. RNAcentral's name for it is "partial 16S ribosomal RNA". It matches the Rfam family "Bacterial small subunit ribosomal RNA", at positions 524 to 776 of the family's 1533-position model. The record is from RNAcentral.